Molecule: long non-coding RNA, 360 nt
Organism: Nicrophorus vespilloides
Lineage: Eukaryota; Metazoa; Arthropoda; Insecta; Coleoptera; Silphidae
Exons: 3
Source: RefSeq, a predicted model, not a curated record
AGAACUUAAAUGUCUGAGAUGACAGUGGCAGCUUCCGACAGAUGUUCAUAGCAGUUCGUUUGCGACCGAGCUAAAAAAAGCUCUUGAUCGAAUCUUCGAACGGGAACAUAUAUAAAUUAUGGAAAAUGCAGAAAAUUAUCGAUUCUUAUUUGAAAACAGGAUUUGAGAGUCCAAUUAAUUGAUUAAUCCAAAUGAUUUAUUUAUUGUUUUGAAAUAUAAUGAUAUUUCGAGAAUGCGUGACAGACGGCUGGGGUGGCUUAAACGUCAAAGUGUAAUUUGAAAUUCGUGGGGUUGAUCGAGUGAACGACGACGAGUGUCUGUCAGUGGUUGCGCCAUUGCGUCUGCCCUACGAAGUGCGAG